This 253-nucleotide ribosomal RNA is filed under the name uncultured bacterium. RNAcentral's name for it is "partial 16S ribosomal RNA". It matches the Rfam family "Bacterial small subunit ribosomal RNA", at positions 524 to 776 of the family's 1533-position model. The record is from RNAcentral.
UACAGAGGCCUCGAGCGUUAGGCGGAAUCACUGGGCUUAAAGCGUGUGUAGGCGGAUCGGUAAGUACCUUGUGAAAUCCCACGGCUUAACUGUGGAACUGCUGGGUAUACUGCCAGUCUUGAGCCACUCAGGGGCUACCGGAACAAAUGGUGGAGCGGUGAAAUGCGUAGAUAUCAGGAGGAACACCAGUGGCGAAGGCGGUGCUCUGGGCCGGAACUGACGCUGAGGAGCGAAAGCGUGGGGAGCAAACAGG